AUUGAACGCUGGCGGCAGGCCUAACACAUGCAAGUCGAGCGGAUGAAGGGAGCUUGCUCCUGGAUUCAGCGGCGGACGGGUGAGUAAUGCCUAGGAAUCUACCUGGUAGUGGGGGAUAACGUCCGGAAACGGGCGCUAAUACCGCAUACGUCCUGAGGGAGAAAGUGGGGGAUCUUCGGACCUCACGCUAUCAGAUGAGCCUAGGUCGGAUUAGCUAGUUGGUGGGGUAAAGGCCUACCAAGGCGACGAUCCGUAACUGGUCUGAGAGGAUGAUCAGUCACACUGGAACUGAGACACGGUCCAGACUCCUACGGGAGGCAGCAGUGGGAAAUAUUGGACAAUGGGCGAAAGCCUGAUCCAGCCAUGCCGCGUGUGUGAAGAAGGUCUUCGGAUUGUAAAGCACUUUAAGUUGGGAGGAAGGGCAGUAAGUUAAUACCUUGCUGUUUUGACGUUACCAACAGAAUAAGCACCGGCUAACUUCGUG
This 484-nucleotide ribosomal RNA is filed under the name uncultured bacterium. Its description in RNAcentral is "partial 16S ribosomal RNA". It matches the Rfam family "Bacterial small subunit ribosomal RNA", at positions 30 to 507 of the family's 1533-position model. The record is from RNAcentral.